AGAGUUUGAUCCUGGCUCAGAUUGAACGGCUGGCGGCAGGCCUAACACAUGCAAGUCGAGCGGUAACAUUUCUAGCUUGCUAGAAGAUGACGAGCGGCGGACGGGUGAGUAAUGCUUGGGAACAUGCCUUGAGGUGGGGGACAACCAUUGGAAACGAUGGCUAAUACCGCAUAAUGUCUACGGACCAAAGGGGGCUUCGGCUCUCGCCUUUAGAUUGGCCCAAGUGGGAUUAGCUAGUUGGUGAGGUAAAGGCUCACCAAGGCGACGAUCCCUAGCUGGUUUGAGAGGAUGAUCAGCCACACUGGAACUGAGACACGGUCCAGACUCCUACGGGAGGCAGCAGUGGGGAAUAUUGCACAAUGGGCGCAAGCCUGAUGCAGCCAUGCCGCGUGUGUGAAGAAGGCCUUCGGGUUGUAAAGCACUUUCAGUCAGGAGGAAAGGUUAGUAGUUAAUACCUGCUAGCUGUGACGUUACUGACAGAAGAAGCACCGGCUAACUCCGUGCCAGCAGCCGCGGUAAU
RNAcentral lists this ribosomal RNA (520 nucleotides) under Pseudoalteromonas sp. 108. RNAcentral's name for it is "bacterial SSU rRNA". It matches the Rfam family "Bacterial small subunit ribosomal RNA", at positions 8 to 524 of the family's 1533-position model. Lineage: Bacteria; Pseudomonadati; Pseudomonadota; Gammaproteobacteria; Alteromonadales; Pseudoalteromonadaceae. The record is from RNAcentral.